This 611-nucleotide ribosomal RNA is filed under the name uncultured euryarchaeote. RNAcentral describes it as "bacterial SSU rRNA". It matches the Rfam family "Archaeal small subunit ribosomal RNA", at positions 459 to 1069 of the family's 1478-position model. Lineage: Archaea; Methanobacteriati; Methanobacteriota. The record is from RNAcentral.
CAGCAGCCGCGGUAAUACCAGCGCCACGAGUGGUAACCGCGUUUAUUGGGCCUAAAGCGUCCGUAGCCGGUCUUGUAAAUCCUUUGUGAAAUUGCUCGGCUUAACCGAACAGCGUGCAAGGGACACUGCAAGACUCGAGACCGGGAGGAGUCAGAAGUAUUCCAGGGGGAGCGGUAAAAUGUUAUAAUCCCUGGAGGACUACCUGUGGCGAAGGCGUCUGACCAGAACGGAUCUGACGGUGAGGGACGAAAGCCAGGGGAGCGAACCGGAUUAGAUACCCGAGUAGUCCUGGCCGUAAACGCUGUGAGCUAGGUGUUGCGCUAACUACAUGUUGGCGCAGUGUCGAAAGGAAGCUGUUAAGCUCACCGCCUGGGAAGUACGGUCGCAAGACUGAAACUUUAAGGAAUUGGCGGGGGAGCACCACAAGGGGUGCGGCGUGCGGUUUAAUCUAACUCAACGCAGAGAACCUUACUAGAAGCGACGGCAGGAUGAAAGUCAACUUGAAGAGUUUACUUGACGAGCCGAGAGGUGGUGCAUGGCCGUCGUCAGCUCGUGCUGUGAAGUGUYCAGCUAAGCCUGGCAACGAGCGAGACCUGUAUCCGCAAUUGCUA